Esox lucius (northern pike) is the source of this 378-nucleotide long non-coding RNA. The record is from Ensembl. Lineage: Eukaryota; Metazoa; Chordata; Actinopteri; Esociformes; Esocidae.
CACAUUGUCACGUGACCGUGAAGCUCGUUGUCCAUUAUAGUUCGGUUACGUUGUUAUGGUUCUGGUUUCGUUUGCUAGCUAACGGUUCAAACAAUCAUCAGCAAGCUUGGACAAAAACGCCUGUCUGGAAAUGGCUUUCCUCCACAAAGAAUCCCAUUCAGCAAUCAGAAAUACGACAUCUGACAAUGCUACCAUCUACAUGAACUGGGACUUUUUUGGUCAAGAGCAUCAACCAGGAAUCAUACUCACCUUGUUUGGAGCGUGUCUCUUUGGAGUUGUCAGAACAGUCCUACACAAUCUGAAGGUGCCAUAUACUGUGCUAUUAGCUCUUUGUGGGAUGUUAUUGGGAUCACUCAGUUUCCAAUACCCAGAGGUAUG